RNAcentral lists this ribosomal RNA (253 nucleotides) under uncultured bacterium. RNAcentral's name for it is "partial 16S ribosomal RNA". It matches the Rfam family "Bacterial small subunit ribosomal RNA", at positions 524 to 776 of the family's 1533-position model. The record is from RNAcentral.
UACGUAGGGUGCAAGCGUUAAUCGGAAUUACUGGGCGUAAAGCGUGCGCAGGCGGUUAUGUAAGACAGUUGUGAAAUCCCCGGGCUCAACCUGGGAGCUGCAUCUGUGACUGCAUAGCUAGAGUACGGUAGAGGGGGAUGGAAUUCCGCGUGUAGCAGUGAAAUGCGUAGAUAUGCGGAGGAACACCGGUGGCGAAGGCAAUCCCCUGGACCUGUACUGACGCUCAUGCACGAAAGCGUGGGGAGCAAACAGG